Molecule: RNA transcript, 2326 nt
Organism: Cucumis melo (muskmelon)
Lineage: Eukaryota; Viridiplantae; Streptophyta; Magnoliopsida; Cucurbitales; Cucurbitaceae
Exons: 13
Source: RefSeq, a predicted model, not a curated record
UUCACUCUUCAAACUCAAAUUGCGCCGUUCACAGUUCGCUAAUCGCUACCCUCGUCUUCUCCUUCGUAUCAGGCUUCAAUCUUCAUCUUUUCCUUCAUCUUCUCCUUUUCUACCCUUCUCUUCCACUCUUCGUCUUCUCCUUCGUCACCCGUCUCAUCUUCGUCUUCUCCUUCGUCACCCGUCUCAUCUUCGUCUUCACCGUCGUCAGUUCGGCUACGACUCUACUCAGUUCGUCUUCUCGUUUUGGCUUUCGAUCUCCUCGUCCGUCAGCGAUACACUUCGUCCCUCUUCUCGUUUUGGCUUCCGAUUUCGAUUUCGACUGCCAUUGUAACAGGCCUCCCUCCGGCAAAGCACACCCAAAGUUCAUAGCAGACCAACUGCCAUUUGUUGCUAACACCUGCAUUCAAGUCGUCCACUAAGUAACAAUUCUUCCUGAAAAGUAGGAAUGGUGGGGCUUUCAACUGGAGAGAAGCUUUUCAUACAAGCUGGUAUUGCUCAAGAUCUUCGCACUGAUGGUCGAGGGAGGCUAACUUAUCGACCCAUCUCUAUUGAAACUGAUGUGAUCUCUCAGGCAAAUGGUUCGGCAAGGGUCCGAAUGGGUGGUACUGAAGUUAUUGCUACAGUGAAAGCUGAACUUGGAAGACCUAAUCCAAUGCAAUCUAACAAAGGGAAGGUCUCAAUCUCUGUUGAUUGUAGUCCGAUUGCAGAGCCGGCAUUUGAGGGUAGGGGUGGUGAAGAGUUGUCAAUGGAACUCUCUGUUGCUCUUGAGCGGUGUCUCUUAGGUGGAAAGAGUGGUUCAGGGGCUGGGAUUGACCUAUCAUCUUUGAUAGUUGUGGAAGGGAAGCUUUGCUGGGAUCUCUAUAUUGAGGGGUUGGUCUUAAGUUCAGAGGGCAAUCUUUUAGAUGCCCUUGGUGCUGCCAUUAAGGCUGCUUUGAGCAAUACAGGCAUCCCAAAAGUCCAUAUUGCUGCAGAAGCAUCAGGCAACGAACAACCUGAAGUUGACGUGAGUGAUGAAGAAUUUAUACAGUUUGAGACAUCUGGGGUUCCAGCCAUUGUUACGUUGACAAAAGUGGGUAAGCACUACAUCAUUGAUGCUACUUUGGAAGAAGAAUCUCAAAUGAGUUCUGCAGUCUCCAUAUCCAUCAACAGGCAUGGUCACAUUUGUGGGUUGACUAAACGUGGGGGCGUCGGGGUUGAUCCAAGCAUAAUCCUCGAUAUGAUAUCCGUGGGCAAAAAUGUCAGCGAGGAGUUGCUGAAUAAGUUGGACUCGGAGAUUGUGGCUGCUGAAGUUGAUGAAGAGGAAUGAAAAAGCUCUUAGAUCUCUUACUAUUGUUCAUUUGCAUGGUAGAAUCUUAGAUCGAUAAUCUGCAAUGGAAUUCUAGUCUAGAUGAUAUAGAUGAUUGAAAGUGUGUUUUUUGAACCGGAGCCGUUGAAUGCAUUGGUAAGGUAAUGAACUUGUAUCAUGUUAUUGAUCAUAAGUUCAUAUUUCUUUUCUUGCUUUAGUCUAGUAUGGGUUUGAUUUCUUCUUGAAACUAUUGAUGCACUUAGAUAGGAAGUGAAUUUUUGUUUUUAGAGUCCUUGCACCAUUGCAUUAUUCUAUAGUAUCCAGGUUUAUGUUUGUGCAGGUCGACACAUAAUUCGUGGAAGUUUUAGCAUUCAGGUGUAAUGUUUUUAUCUUUGACUUUGUAAAGAUCCACAUGGAUGGAACACCCAAUGGGUGAUGUUUGUCUGCAGGUCUUCUUAACCCCAGCUCAUUUAGACAUUGUCAUGGAAUAUGCAGCUGGUGGGGAAUUUUUUGGAAGAAUAUGCAGUGCUGGUCGAUUUAGCGAAGACGAGGCAAGAUUUUUCUUCCAACAGCUAAUAUCCGGUGUCAGCUACUGCCAUUCCAUGCAAAUUUGUUAUAGGGAUCUGAAAUUGGAAAACACACUCUUGGCUGAAGUCCUACUCCACAACUUAAGAUAUGUGACUUCGGUUACUCAAAGUCUGCUUUAUUACACUCGCAACCAAAAUCGACCGUUGGGACACCAGCAUAUAUUUCACUGGAGGUUCUAUCGUGAAAGGAGUAUGAUGCCAAGAUUGCAGAUGCUUGGUCAUGUGGAGUGACAUUGUAUGUGAUGUUGGUUGAAGCAUACCCAUUUGAGGAUCCCGAAGAUCCGAGAAACUUUCAAAAGACAAUAGCAGUAUCUCUCAAAAAAUACAUUAUAGUUUGUUUCGUCAUAAUAAACUUCAGGAAUGUUCAUUUGAGAAAGGGAAAACCCAAUGUCUGUCUCCCUAAUCUUGAAUACAGAGAAUAUUAAGUGUUCAAUACUCAAUACCCGAUUAUGUA